Molecule: transfer RNA, 72 nt
Organism: Ovis aries (sheep)
Lineage: Eukaryota; Metazoa; Chordata; Mammalia; Artiodactyla; Bovidae
Rfam family: tRNA
About the family: Transfer RNA (tRNA) molecules are approximately 80 nucleotides in length. Their secondary structure includes four short double-helical elements and three loops (D, anti-codon, and T loops). Further hydrogen bonds mediate the characteristic L-shaped molecular structure. tRNAs have two regions of fundamental functional importance: the anti-codon, which is responsible for specific mRNA codon recognition, and the 3' end, to which the tRNAs corresponding amino acid is attached (by aminoacyl-tRNA synthetases). tRNAs cope with the degeneracy of the genetic code in two manners: having more than one tRNA (with a specific anti-codon) for a particular amino acid; and 'wobble' base-pairing, i.e. permitting non-standard base-pairing at the 3rd anti-codon position.
Source: Rfam
UCUCUGUUGGUCCAAAGGGAAGACUCUGUGCUCACAAUACAGGGGUCUCUGGUUCGAUUCCUGGUCAGGGAA